GUGGGGAAUAUUGGACAAUGGGCGCAAGCCUGAUCCAGCCAUGCCGCGUGAGUGAUGAAGGCCUUAGGGUUGUAAAGCUCUUUUGUCCGGGAAGAUAAUGACUGUACCGGAAGAAUAAGCCCCGGCUAACUUCGUGCCAGCAGCCGCGGUAAUACGAAGGGGGCUAGCGUUGUUCGGAAUCACUGGGCGUAAAGCGCACGUAGGCGGACCAUUACGUCAGGGGUGAAAGCCAGGAGCUCAACUCCAGAACUGCAUUUGAUACUGAUGGUCUCGAGUAUGGAAGAGGUUGGUGGAACUGAGAGUGUAGAGGUGCAAUUCGUAGAUAUUCGCAAGAACACCGGUGGCGAAGGCGGCCAACUGGUCCAUUACUGACGCUGAGGUGCGAAAGCGUGGGGAGCAAACAGGAUUAGAAACCCGAGUAGUCC
This 425-nucleotide ribosomal RNA is filed under the name uncultured bacterium. RNAcentral describes it as "partial 16S ribosomal RNA". It matches the Rfam family "Bacterial small subunit ribosomal RNA", at positions 354 to 796 of the family's 1533-position model. The record is from RNAcentral.